Mya arenaria is the source of this 913-nucleotide long non-coding RNA. RefSeq lists it as uncharacterized. Lineage: Eukaryota; Metazoa; Mollusca; Bivalvia; Myida; Myidae. The record is from RefSeq and is a predicted model, not a curated record. The transcript is spliced from 7 exons.
UUUUAUGAUGGUAUCCGUCGUUAUCUUAGAUACCUGUGUUUUGGAUGAGGGAUAUGAAAAUGGGACCGAAAAAUACACUUUUUACUUGCCGGUAGUUAGUUUUGGUCAGUUUUACUUUAGGUUCCUAAUUGUACAUGAGCACUUGUAAGCGUCUGAUUGAAGAUGAAUGAAAUACCAAAAAGUGAAACUACGCCUGACAAUUAUUGAACAGUUGUUUUUGUAGAUAAGUAUUAGUGACCGAGUUGGAGAUACAGUUGCAGGUUGCGAUAGUGAAGUACAUAAUUCUGUUUGUUUUCUAAAGUGGUGCGGACUUGGAGAGAGCGGUGUUCUUGCAGUAGAAGAUGGUGUAGAUAGCUGACUGUAGCUGUGCUCGUUCUGAAGUUGUGAAGUGGUGAGAAGUCCUGUUGUAUGAUCUACAUUGCUUGUUGAAGAGGAGCUUUGGGUGUCGCUGCUUGGAGGUCGAAAGACAAUCAACGUCUGAGAGGGAAAUAUGUUGGUGCGCAAUUUAUACAACUUGUUUGAAUGUGGGCUUACAUCAACGACAGCAAGACUUUGCGAUCGACACUCUACUCUGUCAAAUGGAUAUUUAGCUGUGCUGUUUUUCAACAACUCUGCAUGAGCUACAAUAAGAGCUGGAUUGACUCUUACCUUCUUUGCUAUUCGCUUUUCGCUUGAUUUACAAUUUGCUGUGUGGGGGAAGUCAUGUUCAAUGUCAAGUCACUGCUCUCUGCGGAAGCCUUAUGAGAUCAUCCGGGGAUAUCGCCAUAUUGAAAACCCGCCAGAGGUUCGGUCCACGUCCAUGGUGCUCGGGAUGAGUCAUUGGAGGACGAAGAUCGGGUGUCCUUAUGCUGCCAUGAAAUGUCGUUUUUAUGAUGUCCAAUUAUGUUCAAAAAUAAACAACUUGGAGAAUGUG